RNAcentral lists this ribosomal RNA (464 nucleotides) under uncultured Geobacteraceae bacterium. RNAcentral's name for it is "partial 16S ribosomal RNA". It matches the Rfam family "Bacterial small subunit ribosomal RNA", at positions 338 to 794 of the family's 1533-position model. The record is from RNAcentral. Lineage: Bacteria; Pseudomonadati; Thermodesulfobacteriota; Desulfuromonadia; Geobacterales; Geobacteraceae.
CCUACGGGAGGCAGCAGUGGGGAAUUUUGCGCAAUGGGGGCAACCCUGACGCAGCAACGCCGCGUGAGUGAUGAAGGCCUUCGGGUCGUAAAGCUCUGUCAGAGGGGAAGAAAUGCAGGUGGUGAACAACCAUUCUGUUUGACGGUACCCUCAAAGGAAGCACCGGCUAACUCCGUGCCAGCAGCCGCGGUAAUACGGAGGGUGCGAGCGUUGUUCGGAAUUAUUGGGCGUAAAGCGCGUGUAGGCGGUUUGUUAAGUCGGAGGUGAAAGCCCCGGGCUCAACCUGGGAAGUGCAUUGGAUACUGGCAGACUUGAGUACGGGAGAGGAGAGUGGAAUUCCCAGUGUAGGAGUGAAAUCCGUAGAUAUUGGGAGGAACACCAGUGGCGAAGGCGGCUUUCUGGGCCUAUCCUGACGCUGAGGAGCGAAAGCGUGGGGAGCAAACCGGAUUAGAUCCCCUUGUAGU